GGGAGCCCACGGUGCUGUGAGGUCUCAGGAGGCAGAGCUCUGGGGUGUCUGCACCAUGGCCUGGACCCCUCUGCUGCUCUCCCUUCUCACUCUCUGCACAGAUUCUGUGGUUUCCUCUGAGCUGACACAGCCUUCCUCGGUGUCUGUGGCCCUGGGACAGACGGCCACCAUCACCUGUCAGGGAGAUAUCUUGUUGAUAUCUGAUGAUGACUACGAGCAAGAAAAUGAUGUCCACUGGUACCAACAGAAGCCCGACCAGACCCCCGUGCUGGUCAUUAUUAGAUAUAGCAACCGGCCCUCAGGGAUCCCUGACCGAUUCUCAAGCUCCAGCUCAGGGAACACGGCCACCCUGACCAUCAGCAGGGCCCAGGCCCAGGAUGAGGCUGACUAUUACUGUCAGUCAUGGGGCAGCAGUGGUGAUGCUCACAGUGACACAGGACAAUGGGGAACCCGGCACCUUGUUUCUACCAGUGGCAGCACCGCCAAGCUCCUUGCCCCGAGUUAA
This is a non-coding RNA of Phyllostomus hastatus (greater spear-nosed bat), 505 nucleotides long. Lineage: Eukaryota; Metazoa; Chordata; Mammalia; Chiroptera; Phyllostomidae. The record is from the annotation of a RefSeq genome assembly.